RNA transcript from Oncorhynchus gorbuscha (pink salmon), 4760 nucleotides. RefSeq lists it as uncharacterized. The transcript is spliced from 6 exons. NCBI's taxonomy places the organism in Eukaryota, Metazoa, Chordata, Actinopteri, Salmoniformes, Salmonidae. The record is from RefSeq and is a predicted model, not a curated record.
ACCAACUAUCAAACGUUUGUGUUGGACCGAUACAAAAAUUCUGAUGAGGGGGAAGCGACGCGCUAACGUCAACGGUUAACGUUAGCAUGUUUUUACAACUUUAACUUACGUAAAACAAUACCUAUCUAAGAUCAUUAUUGAAGCAUGACACCUUCAAAUAACAGUAAAUGAGACGAAAUAUGCCAACUUGAGCUAGCUCGUCUGCCUCUAAAAUGAUUUUGAGAUGUGUCGUGAUGAAUCGCAUUUCCUAGCGAACUACAGUGUUGGCUAGCUAACGUUAGUAGAAAAAUCAAUAUAAUGGUAAUUUUGUGAGGUUAGCCAACUGCAUUUUUAACAGUAUACAGUAAGUGUGCAUUUCGCAUGUGUUUCUAGAACCGUAUAUUGAUAAUCUAUUCACGUUUAGGUGGUGUUCUGGCUAUCAGAGCCAGCCUACCUCUGAAAAUAACACAAGGUACUUAGGCUAACUGUAACGUUCGGCUCCUUAAGAGUACAUCUCGGGUUAGGACAGGGUCUGAAGUGCAUCUAUAACAGAAGCUUGCCAGGGUGGUGCUCCAGGUCAUCAGACUGGGCCCAGAGGAAUUGCGCGUGCCCAAUUUGACUGAAGCGUGGAGCAAGUUACCCAAAGGUUUUUUUCAUAUUUUCAUUAAGAAACUGACAAAACACACCGGUGCAAGAUCAAGUUGACUUACAAAGAGCAAGAGAGGGAAGGGAGUGCGGUGAUGUAGUGUCCACAACUAAAGAGGCAUUGUGGAAUCUGAGAAGACUCCUCCCGAAACAUGAUGGUGUACUACAUGCUAACAGAAAGGAACGAGGAAACAUUCUAGAAGAGUUCCUGAUCCUGGUAUCUGUUUAGCCCCAGCUGGUUGACCACUGUAUCAGGGGCAAUGGAGAGGCCUAUCCAGCCUCUGAAGACAAUAUUUCAUAGGCUAAGUAGUGAAAAACCAAGAGGAGAUAAUAAGAGUUUUGAGCACUUGAGACCGCUCUCUGUUUAUUCUAGAAUGAUAACUUGUGAAAAUGGUAGGGUUAGUCCUAGCGGCACUAACCAGUCAUGGAAUUCAUCCAAUCCAUUCUGCAACUUGAAAAUAGAGAUUGUGAACAACAAUGCCCCUACAAGACACAAGAGGCGAUUGGAUGACUCCUGCCUUGAUGACACGUACGAGACUACAUACAAAAAGCCCUGCACUCCUAAGGCCAUCUCCCCAGACCUGGCUUGUGUUGUAGUUUCAUGCAGCAUCCCUCCAGAUGUAGUCACUGUCUCCCCUACCACUGACCUCCAAAAAGUGCCAUCUAGUGUUGAAAAUACAGUCAAAGAUAAAGGUACAUCCGAAGCUGUGACAUGUGUGCCAAACUCAGGAGAGGCUGGAAGUAGACCGGGUGGUGCUGCAGCUCCAGGCGGCCCCGUAUCAAACGAGUCUGAGGCCUGGUCUGAGACCCUGAGCCAUGAGCCUGAGAAAGUCUCGAUGGACCUUGGUCCUGUUUUUGACUUUGACGUUGACGACAUCAUGUGCCUGAGCCCCACUGACAGCGACAGGGGGAGCGAUGAGGGCAUUGAAGCCUUUGUCGAUAGCUGUAACAGUUUUUACGACGACUGCACCCGUAACCCCAGUGACGGCGACACCCAGCGAACUAAGCCUUUCUUAGCUCACAGUUCAACACAGAACCAUGUUUCAAAGGAGGGAUAUGACGUAGGAGAGCGGGAGGAGGGGAAAGGAGAGAAGAUGGUGGGAGAAGGAGAAAGGGGAAAAGGGGGCAAUGAGGAGAUAAACAAUCAGGAGGAAGAGGAGGUUGUGAGCAUUGAGGGUUUUUUUUCCAGGUCCUACCUUGCGGCACUUAAAGCAGGAAAGGACGUGUCUCAGGCUGUGCCACCCCUGCAGCCCCGCAUCUCGUCCAGCCCUUUGUUUAUGGGGAGGGAGGUGAUGCAGAGGCUGCAGGUGGCUGUGUCAGAUGAUGGGGAACCUUCAUGUCCUCCAUGGUUCCCUGAUCCCAAUGGGGGCCAGGCUAUGGUUUGCCAGCCGCACUACUCUUUCACUUCGGAGGAUGUAGCUUAUGGGUUAUAUGGGGCAUCUCUGGUCGCAGUGGAGGGUGCAGAUGAGGGCUUGGAGGGUACGGCAGGGGACGAUUGGAGUAUCGGUGCCCCGAUACUGGAGUCCUCAUUGUGUCAUGUUGCCCCAGUGGAGUUCAAUGCGGGUUGUGAGGGAAAUGUGGUGGAGGGUGUGCUUGAUUCAGUUCAGGAGUGCCAGGUCACACUCCUGGCCGAAGAGGUAACCGUGGAGCCCAGCUACGAGAAGGUGAGGUCAGUACUGGUGGUUCCCAGCGUGCAACAGAGCAGCAGCAGCCAACCCUCAACGCCGCCUGAGCAGAAAGUGUCUGAGACCAGGUCUGUGCAGAAACCUUCUCUGGAGAAGAAUCUUGUCAAGACGACAACAAGACCUGUCCAGAAACCUUCACCUGGACAGAACAUUAUCAAGAACACAAUUGUCCAUAAACCUUCGCUUGGGCAGAAAGUGACAAAGAUAAAACCUGUCCAGGCAGCUUCAACUUCGUCUGACCAAAAAGUGGUCAAUACAAGACCUGUCCAGAAACCUUCACCUGGACAGAACAUUAUCAAGAACACAAUUGUCCAUAAACCUUCGCUUGGGCAGAAAGUGACAAAGAUAAAACCUGUCCAGGCAGCUUCAACCUGACCAAAAAGUGGUCAAUACAAGACCUGUCCAGAAACCUUCACCUGGACAGAACAUUAUCAAGAACACAAUUGUCCAUAAACCUUCGCUUGGGCAGAAAGUGACAAAGAUAAAACCUGUCCAGGCAGCUUCAACUUCGUCUGACCAAAAAGUGGUCAAUACAAGACCUGUCCAGAAAACUGCACCAAGGCCAGUGGUCUAUGACAGGGAGGAGGACUGGCAGCGUGAGAAGUGGCUCUAUGUGGACUCAGUCACCAGACACAUAAGGGAGAACAUUGGUGCAGGAGAAGGGGUGAUGACUGAGCUGCUGAACCUGAUGAACCAUGUGGCCGAUCAGAGACCAGGCACCAACGGCAGGCAGUGGCAGCACCCCUCGGAUCUCACCCGCAGAAAUUACCAAAGACGAUUUGGAAAUGACAGAACAAAUUACACUCUGGACGAAUGGCAGAACCAGAACUACAGGAACCACCAGCGCUUUGCCAAUCUCCCACAGAUCUUUGAGAGAAGUCCAGUUCUGUAAAUCCAAGCAACAAAGCAUUUUACCAGAGGAAUGUAUAGGACAGUACACUUUUUUAAAUUUGGCAAAUGACAUCACUCAGGUCAUUAGGUGUCUAAGAUUUGAGCUCUUAUAUUGUAACGGUUAAACGGUUAAAACUUGAAUUAAUCCUUUACUUCUUCUCAGCUUUUAACAAUGUCUUUCACUUAUUGUUUUUUGUUUGAAAUUAAUUAAUUUAUCCUCGCUCAAGAUUUGUAUGUUUAUUGUUAGUGUCUUGAAGCCCAGAGAUUUUUUUUUUCAAUUUGUUCGAUCUUGUUGUACUUUAAUUUAAAUUAUGUUCCUUUCAGCUUACCAUCCAGUAUAAUCAUAACAUUGAUGACAGAAAAGGAACAAAAAUAACGUAAUAGCCAAUCGUUGUGCCUGCCUGUCUCCUGUCUGCACUUGUUUCCUUUUUGUACUGUCACUCCUAGUUUGUGCUAGGCACCUUGUUUGCACAGGCUUUUUAAAAAUGUUUUAAAGAACUCCUUUUUGAAUAUUGUGCACAUUUCCCUGGCUAAACUCUUAUUUGUGUAGUUGAAUUUCUUUCCCCAUACAUGUUGCAUUCUUGCUGUUGAAGUACAAACAAAUCAUCCAACACUUUGUUAGUACUUGGUUCUGAUUAGCCCCUUGGUUCAGUUGGAACACUUUGAAGGGACAAUCAAAUCAUAACUGAUCUACACCAUUUCCAAGGUGUGGUGCCAUAUGUAUUGUUCCAGAUGCUGUUCACUUACUGCCUUUGGCCUGUCAUUUGUUUAUUAGCAUAUGCCUGAGUAUUUGAGGCCAUGUUAUGGUUGCUUGACAUUUUUGUUCCAUCUUAGAUUUCUUGUGUAACAAAAUUUAAGGGAGUUUGUCACAUGGAUUAGGUCAACUCUUAAUUCUCUACUUUAUCUAUAUUCUGUGCAGCGAAGCGAUAUGGAUUGGCCUUGUAUUGAUGCUUGUGUUGGAGAGACAUCUGUAAACAUAAUCUAGUGUGGGAAAUUGAUGAGAAACACGAUUUGUAGGGAUCUGUUGUGUGGCCUAUUUUCUUUGACAUUGUGAAUCUCGGCACAUUUCUCGCACAGGUUUCUGAUUUCACAUUAAAAGCAGUUGCCUAAAACCCUGAGUGAACUUUUACAAGGAUGAACGUCUAGCCCAGUCAGAAUACCAUAUGAGUGCACUCGAUGACUGAGGAGAUAUUGCAUGUGGCUCACUGAUGCUAAUAGAAUAGAGGUUUCAUUUAUAAGAAAAAAUAAAUGGAGCACUUUGGCAGUUUACAAUAAAGAUGAUGGAAUUGCAGUGCAGCCUACCUAUGACCAUUUUCAAUGUGAACUACCCCAUCUAAGCCUUCUUACUAAUUUACUUUAUCUUUUAGGUUCUCAUAAUCAUAUAAUACGCUAUUCAACCUCUGCUUUAAGCUUAUUGCUAACAGCUUUAAAUGGCAUAUGAUUUAAUUACCUACAUGUGGAUAUGGUAGGCCAUCAUUGUAAAUAAGAAUUUGUUCUGAACUGACUUGCCUAGUUAAAUUAAAUAAAAAAUGUGGAUAUAAACACUAAGCUCAAGUUCAU